ACCACUCCCACUAUUGAAACUUAUAUUGGCCAGAGUUCUUGGUGUGCUUUUUUUCUUGGUAUAUUUAAUAACAAGAACUCCAACUUAUUUAACGAGAGUUACAGUUGGGCAAAAUGCUUUUGUACUCAUAUCCUGCUUGAAGGCUUCCCACAGGCAUCUGGUUGACCACUGUGAGAACAGCAUGCUGGACUAGAUGUAAGUUUGACUGCAGAACAUCAAAAGCUUUUGUUGGACUGGGAAUGGGAAACCUGGGGCCCAGGGGCCAAAUUCAACUCUCGAAGCUUCUCUGUCUGGCCCUUGGAACUCACUCCAGGCCACACCUUCGCUCCCUUGCUCACACUCCUCCCUGCCUUCACAUCUUGACUGCAUUCUUCUUUGCUGGCCUGUGUCCUUGAACUCUGAUUCUGUCUGUUGUUUGCCUGGAUGGAGGAUAGAGAGGGGUGUGUGAAUAUCUGUCAAAUCUAGCCUAUUGUACAAAUGCAGUGUUUUUUCUCUUAAAAAAUGUUUAGGGGUACUCUCAUUUUGACUCAAAAAACCCACCAUUUUAUAGUUCAAAUUGGGAAAAAUAAAUACAGCAAAUGGACAAAAGUACAAAGAACAUGCAUUAUCACACAACACCGUUGUCCCAUCUUUUGUUUUUACAUAGUCAUCAUUAACUUUACACUUCUUUGCUGGCUGUGAUGAUGAAAAAUGGUUAGUAAUUUUCCUACUCAUAUUGAAAUACUGCCCCUCAAUGAGGCCAAACUUUCAUUAGUAAAAAACCGCACAUCCACAUUCCACACUGCUUCACACAUCAAACGCUCACUUCUGUCUGAAACUCAGGAAACACCGUGACAGGAAAUGAGGCCGCCAUUGGGAUUAGCAACAGAACUGACGAUUCACUGUGUUAUUCAAUGGAACUGACUAUUCACCAUGCUAGAGAAGAAACUAUAUAUAUAUAUACAUAUAUAUUAGUUUCUUCACCCAUUAGGAUUCACAAAAUGUUUAGGGGUAUGCAUAUUCCUGCAUCCCUCCAAAAAAAAGCACUGUACAAAGGUAACAUUUGCAUUUGUUGCUCCACCUCCUUUUGCAUGGCAUGUGGCCCUCAGAAGGUUGCCCAAGAUGGGAAUGUGGCCCUUGGGCUGAAUUGUUUUCUUCUCAACCUCAGAACGUAGGGAAUAAAUUACCCUACGAGCCUUUACCUGAGAGACGUUUACAGCUGCCAUCCCAGCAUUAGCAGAAGAGUACCUGACAGAGGAACAGGUGAGUGAGUUAUUCCCUCCUCUUAUACCUCCUCUCCUGUAUACCUGAAGGACCAUCUCCACCCCCAUCAUUCAGCCCGGAUACUGAGAUCCAUCACCGAGGGCCUUCUGGCAGUUCCCUCACUACGAGAAUGAGGUUACAGGGAACUAGGCAGAGGGCCUUCUUGGUAGUGGCGCCUGCCCUGUGGAACGCCCUCCCAGCAGAUAUCAAGGCAAUAAACAACUAUUUUACUUUUAAAAGUAGCCUGAAGGCGGCCCUGUUUAUGGAAGUUUUUAAUGUCUGAC
This 1526-nucleotide long non-coding RNA is filed under the name Podarcis lilfordi (Lilford's wall lizard). The record is from RNAcentral. Lineage: Eukaryota; Metazoa; Chordata; Lepidosauria; Squamata; Lacertidae.